RNAcentral lists this unclassified non-coding RNA (253 nucleotides) under plant metagenome. RNAcentral describes it as "partial contains small subunit ribosomal RNA, internal transcribed spacer 1, and 5.8S ribosomal RNA". The record is from RNAcentral.
UUUCCGUAGGUGAACCUGCGGAAGGAUCAUUAACGAGUUAGGGUCUUCCAGGCCCGACCUCCCAACCCUAUGUUUAUUGAACCUCUGUUGCUUCGGCGGACCCGCCUCACGGCCGCCGGAGGACCGCUGCAAGGCGUCCUCUGGCCAGCGUCCGCCGAUGGCCAACCACUUAAACUCUGAAUGAAUCGUGUCAUAUGUCUAAGUCUAUGAUUAAAUUAAAGCGAAACUUUCAACAACGGAUCUCUUGGUUCUG